This 586-nucleotide ribosomal RNA is filed under the name Eucoleus garfiai. Its description in RNAcentral is "SSU rRNA". It matches the Rfam family "Eukaryotic small subunit ribosomal RNA", at positions 49 to 575 of the family's 1831-position model. Lineage: Eukaryota; Metazoa; Nematoda; Enoplea; Trichinellida; Capillariidae. The record is from RNAcentral.
CCAUGCAUGUGCAAGUGCAUACCGUAGAUUCGGUAAAACCGCGAAUGGCUCAUUAGAACAGUUGUUGUUCGAAAGAACUGAUGUCCACAGGGAUAACUGUGGAAAUGCUAGAGCUAAUACACGCCUUGAUGCUUUGAGUGCCGUUCUCAAAGCGCGUUUAUUUGCCAAUUUUGAUCGGCUCGCUCGUGCGGUUCGGCGCGCUCGCCGUCUGUUGCGUAGCGUUGUCGUCGUCGAGAUGAGUCGAUAAAAGUCGUUGAAUGGCCAAAUAAAUUUUGCUGAUCGCACGGUCUUAGUACUGGCGACGAAUCUUUGAAACGACUUGCCUAUCAACUGUCGAUGGCAGGCUACGUGCCUACCAUGGUGACAACGGUUAACGGGGAAUCAGGGUUCGAUUCCGGAGAGAGAGCCUGAGAGACGGCUACCACAUCCAAGGAAGGCAGCAGGCACGCAAAUUACCCACUCCCAGAAUGGGGAGGUAGUGACGAUAAAUAACGGAACGUAUCUCGACGAGACGCGUUACCGGAACGACUGAGCCGUAUACGAGCUCGGCGAAAGCUAUUGGAGGGCAAGUCUGGUGCCAGCAGCC